UUUUCAUCAGUCAACCUUUAUGAAUGCUAACACAUUCAGUCCUUUUAUUUUUCCUUACCACUAGGUUUAAAAAAAAAAAAUACAGUUAAUCAUUAAGUUAUUUGAAAUUUUAACAGAAGUGCAAGUACCUACAUUUCUUUCUGGUCUUCGUAACACAUGGUACACACUCUCAUUCUUAGAUAAUACUGUUGUGUGUCAAAUGUACGAUAACACAUUCACUGAGAGGGAUUACUGACUCUACAGACAACUGCAGCACCUUUAAAAGGCAUUUAUCUAUGGUUAAGAGUUGGGCAUUUGGGGUUUGAAACACAGCCUCCUAUAAUUUAGGGCUGUGACUUCUCCACCCUCCCAAAAAAGAAUGGAUGCAUAAAACACUUUCAUCUGAAGUCUACAAAAAU
This 398-nucleotide long non-coding RNA is filed under the name Bos taurus (domestic cattle). Its description in RNAcentral is "long non-coding RNA NONBTAT024939". The record is from RNAcentral. Lineage: Eukaryota; Metazoa; Chordata; Mammalia; Artiodactyla; Bovidae.